RNAcentral lists this ribosomal RNA (458 nucleotides) under uncultured bacterium. RNAcentral's name for it is "partial 16S ribosomal RNA". It matches the Rfam family "Bacterial small subunit ribosomal RNA", at positions 338 to 795 of the family's 1533-position model. The record is from RNAcentral.
CCUACGGGGGACUGCAGUAGGGAAUAUUGCACAAUGAGGGAAAGCCUGAUGCAGCGACGCCGCGUGAGUGAAGAAGUAUUUCGGUAUGUAAAGCUCUGUCAGCAGGGAAGAAAUCUCGACCUUUGGGUCGCCAGACGAUACCUGGCUCAGACGCACCGGCUAAAUGCGUGCCAGGAGCCGCGGUACGACGUAGGGGGCAAGCGUUAUCCGGAUUUAGUGGGUGUAAAGGGAGCGUAGACGGCAGCACAAGUCUGAAGUGAAAUGCCGGGGCCUAACCCCGGAACUGCUUUGGAAACUGUGAAGCUAGAGUGCAGGAGAGGUAAGUGGAAUUCCUAGUGUAGCGGUGAAAUGCGUAGAUAUUAGGAGGAACACCAGUGGCGAAGGCGGCUUACUGGAUUGUAACUGACGUUGAGGCUCGAAAGCGUGGGGAGCAAACAGGAUUAGAUACCCGGGUAGUC